CCACAACUUUUCAAUUACAUAUUUCAUGAACUUUAAUCAAAAUUUGUUGAUACUUUUAUCAAAUCUUUGUAAAACAACCCCUUAAUUUACGCAACAAAUUAAUAAUUUCAAUGUGAAAAUUAUAAGAUAAUACCCCUAUAACUUCCAAGAAAAUUCAAAUAUCAAAUUUCAAUUGCUUUACCGUUCAAAUCAUUUUAUUUACUUCACAUAAAAAACCGUUUUGAGUUAAAAUAGUGUUUCCAAUAUUUUGCGAAAAAAAAGGGUAGUAAUAUGACGUCAUAUUAGUCUAAACUCACAAUCUCAAUCAAUUAAAUCAUACUGCAAUAAACUAUAACAAAAAAUGAUGAAGAAAAUUACAAUAUAAUAUCAUACACAAUGCAUCAAAAUAAAUUGAUCAAAGCGGUGUAGUUAGAAGCAUGAUUUGCAGACAAAUCGACCUAAAAACAUAAGAAUCAAGAAAAUAGAUUUCAUUCUUCCACAGUAUAUUAGUUGAAAUGUAUCACUGAUAACGGUGAUAGAAGAAGAACGAAGCGUGGGAUUAGAUAAGAGACCGUGACUCGAUCUAGACUCCUACGUGAAUUUUCCGCUGGGAUUUUCUCAGAUUUUACACGUAUACAUGUGUGUCAGUGUGUGACUAUGUAUAUUCACACAGGAGGGACAUGAAUAUUGGGCAAUUUUGAAGGUGAAAAGGCCAAUAAAAUCAGCAAAACCAUGAUCAAAACUGGGACAAGAAGAAGAAUUGGCGGUGGCGGAGGAAGUGGCGGCAGAACCAGUGGCAACACCAAGAGUGAUACUGUCAACAAAACCAUUAUGACAAUCUGUCUUAAACUAUAAUACCUGAACAUCAAAUUCUCCAAUGGUUUUUUAUUUUCACUACUUUUCACCUCAAAAAUGCUACCCUGUGCUCUGUCCGGUACAUCUUCAUCUUCAUCCAUCAACUGAACUGAAACAACCUCAGGGCAUGUGAAUGCCUAGUGAAUUGAUUUCAUAAAUGAGGGGGGGGGGGGGGGGUUUGACUUGGCGUUGCGAGUCUUUUGACACGUCAUCUUACAAAGCUCAACCAUAAUUUCAAAGUUUGGCUAGAUUCAUAGUACCAGUGUCCCAGUGUGUGUCUGUGCGUAUUUUAUAUUGAUUUUCCCCCCUCUUUUUGUUGGCUAAAUUCAUUGGCGACUUGGAUAAAACAAAGCGAGAGAAGGAAAAAGUUUUGCUAGUUUUGGUUUUACCUUUUGUGAUGAUCCUUUGGGAUGAAUAAUCAGCAAAGUUAGGCCAAACAUUUUUAUAAUGAAAAAAUAAAUAAUUACACUUCAUUCACAUGGUCAUACUAUCAUAAUCAUAUGUCGAGUUUCCGACUUGCUUCUUGAAGGAUUCCAUAAGACACCCCUAAGCUAGUUUUAAGGUAUACGUGAUUGGUAUACACGUAUAUGAUCAGAAGGGAUAAAUACAAGUUAACAUGAGUAUACCAUAUAUUGACUAAACCCA
This 1479-nucleotide long non-coding RNA is filed under the name Olea europaea subsp. europaea. Lineage: Eukaryota; Viridiplantae; Streptophyta; Magnoliopsida; Lamiales; Oleaceae. The record is from RNAcentral.